Molecule: non-coding RNA, 194 nt
Filed under: Bacteroidota bacterium
Lineage: Bacteria; Pseudomonadati; Bacteroidota
Source: RNAcentral
UUACUUUGUUACGAUUUUGGUUCCUGUUGCUGUUUAAUCAGUAGGGAUUAAAAGGGAAUCCUGUUAAAAUCAGGAACUAUCCCCGUAGCUGUAAGUUUCAAUAACUACAAUGCAUCUUUGCCACUGACCUUUUUGGUUGGGAAGGCGCAUUUGAGGAAACAAGUCAGAAGACCUGCCAAAACAAUAUUAAUCCG